UCGUUUUCGUUUUUGUUUUGUUUUGUUUUGGAUCAGCUGCCCCGCUCAAAUAGAUCGGUAGCCGCCGGGUGGUGGGUUAGAGAGAGGAGGGGGAGGAGCCGGUGGACGAGGAGGGCUUCGCGGCUUUGGGAUUGAGGUGGCUAGAGAGAGGUGGGGCCCCCUCCGCUACCGCCGCCGCGGCCGCCGCCCUCCCGUCCCUCCGCCGUACCUGCGGCGCGAGGAGCUGCUGUAGUAGGCGGCAGACGAGCUCCACGCCUGCCGCGCGGGGCCGUUCGUCCACGUCGAGAGGCUCAGCCUCUAGGCGGUCGAGACGUGGCGGAGGGCGCUGUAGAAGGAGUGGGUCGGGUUGGAGGAGCUCGAGCUCCGCGGGUAGUUCUAGACGCCACUAUAGGUACCAGUCAUGUCACUAGAAAAUUCCGAUAAACUCAUACCUCCAAAAGGGGGCCUUCGGUUGAUAGAUAAGAAUCCGCUAAUACAACUAGCUCCGUUUGUCUCAGACCUCUGAUAUACGGAGGAGGAACGUAUGUUUUAGUUCAUGGGACUCUUGAAAAAAGAGGACUCUCCGUUGGUACUCACACGAAGUUAUUUGUCUUAUAUACCUAAAAUACUACUUACGUUCGCAGCGAAGUUACACGCCGAUACCUUCCAGAAGUGGCUGACAAAAUUGACAGAGGGACACCGGCGAGAUUAACUACUAUUUUAUAAUACGUACGUACCACCGGAAAGAGGACUAGACCCUGUGGAUCUACUCUAUUUUUUGAACGGGGCAGGAUGGCUACACGGUCUAUGUCCAGAUGAUACGCUAGAAGAAACCAGACUAGGUCCUUUUCUACAGGUUCCCACCCCGUACUUACUAUCCCCGCAAAGUAAGUGUAAACCAGUACUGUUUCAAUGCCUCAAGGAAGAUUUCGUACUAGAACUAGAAUAAACGGCACGGGUGGUCCAACAGCUCCUACCCAUACUUAAGAAACGACUGUCUGUCGACCAGUGGUAUAAAAGCCGAGGGUUGAUAACACCACUUAAACUAUUACGACCUCGUUACUACUCACAACUACUUUGAAACUACACAAGUAAAGUUUAAGAGUUUGGACGGCUCUCUUUUUAGUUUAAAUACCGCAGUUUGUUUUACACUUUACUACUUCGAGAAAGGAGAAGAUCUCCGAGACUCCGAGAGUACACCUGUGUUAGUGUAGUUCUGUAGUUGCGCGUCCGCGAUACGAACUUCCGUCGUAGCCCGAUCAAGAUGACCUCUUCAGUUUAUUAUAGUAAAGAUUGUCAACGACAUCUAUAUAACUAAUACCUUCCGACUUCAAGCGUUAACUGCGUUCUACUAGGGGAGGUCGUUCUUUGUUUUUCAAGACUUAUACUCUCAAAAGACAAACCCUCAAGGUGAUAGAUUUUUCGUGGACAUAGUGAAUGACUCCAUUCUUGUUUUCGGUUCGGACACAAAGACAACGACAUUCGUUUAUAACCUACUCAAAAUAAAAUCAAAAAUCUCUCGCCAUUACCAUUGUUAAGUUUAUCAUACUCGUGUUUCUUUCGACUACGAACCACCCUUGAACUACUCUUUUAUAAGUCGUACAAGGACUACAUCCGAAGUGGAAAGUUCACGACCUACCGAAACUCAAAAACAAGUUAGUCUGGUCGUACUACCCGACAACGAACUAAUCGUAAUUGCACCUUUGUUUUAGACCGUAAGCA
This 1701-nucleotide ribosomal RNA is filed under the name Triticum aestivum (bread wheat). RNAcentral's name for it is "partial small subunit ribosomal RNA". Lineage: Eukaryota; Viridiplantae; Streptophyta; Magnoliopsida; Poales; Poaceae. The record is from RNAcentral.